RNAcentral lists this ribosomal RNA (468 nucleotides) under uncultured bacterium. RNAcentral describes it as "partial 16S ribosomal RNA". It matches the Rfam family "Bacterial small subunit ribosomal RNA", at positions 28 to 507 of the family's 1533-position model. The record is from RNAcentral.
GACGAACGCUGGCGGCGUGCUUAACACAUGCAAGUCGAACGGAAAGGCCCUGCUUUUGUGGGGUGCUCGAGUGGCGAACGGGUGAGUAACACGUGAGUAACCUGCCCUUGACUUUGGGAUAUCUUCAGGAAACUGGGGCUAAUACCGGAUAGGAGCUCCUGCUGCAUGGUGGGGGUUGGAAAGUUUCGGCGGUUGGGGAUGGACUCGCGGCUUAUCAGCUUGAUGGUGGGGUAGUGGCUUACCAAGGCUUUGACGGGUAGCCGGCCUGAGAGGGUGACCGGCCACAUUGGGACUGAGAUACGGCCCAGACUCCUACGGGAGGCAGCAGUGGGGAAUAUUGCACAAUGGGCGGAAGCCUGAUGCAGCAACGCCGCGUGCGGGAUGACGGCCUUCGGGUUGUAAACCGCUUUCGCCUGUGACGAAGCGUGAGUGACGGUAAUGGGUAAAGAAGCACCGGCUAACUACGUG